UGAAAAUAGAAUGGAUUUAUG
This 21-nucleotide non-coding RNA is filed under the name Caenorhabditis elegans. The record is from RNAcentral. Lineage: Eukaryota; Metazoa; Nematoda; Chromadorea; Rhabditida; Rhabditidae.